AGGGGAUCUUCCCAACCAGUGGAUUGAACCUGUGUUUGCCUGCGUCUCCUGCCUUGCUGUUGGAUUCUUUACCCACUGAGCCACCAGGGAAGUCCAUAAAAAUCAUCAAAUCGCCCUGGAACAAUUUGCCACUCAGAGUGCUGGUAGAUUCAAAGGGAGAUGGGGAGAGAGGACACCCAUGGGCAGUGGCCAGGACAAGGAGACCAGAGUGGGUGCUGACACCCUUUCUGGGUCUUGAGAAACUUGGAGUCAGCUGUGUCCAGUUUGAGCUGGUUGAGACUGGCUAAGACAACGGACCCUCCCAAUGGGCAUGUGCCAGUGUCCUCUCUGUGACCUUUGACGUCAGAGGGCCAGGAGCUCCACCCUGAAAACAUGGCGACACCACAAGUUCUGGGCAUGCAGGCCUGGUUACAUCUGCACAGAACGAUGAUGAUCACAGCUUUUCCUUAUUUCCACUUACCUUUCCCCAGGCUCCACACACAUUACAGCUCCAUCCCAUAAUUAUCCCAAGCCCCUCGCUUUCGGAAAGGUGGGUUUGGGAUCAGCUAUCCCAUCUCCUCUCUUGGCUGCAGUGUGAAUAAACUCUUUGCUGCAAACCUCAGUGUCUCAGCCCUUGGCUUGCUGCACAUUGGGUCUUUUUCUAUAGGCAUGAGCAAUUUAGAGAUUUAAUGCUUGGACAGCUUUGAAGUGAGAGCCGAAAAUAGGACCCUCCUUUCAUCUUGACAACGAUAAAACUAUGAUGUGAAGAGAGAGAUUUCUGGCCAUAUCCAAUUUUUUGCUAGUCUUCAGUCCUCCUUUUACUCUUGCUUGCAUUUAUGUGUUCUCAAAUUGCACUGGAGAUUCAGAAGCAGAUCAGUGAAUUUAUCUGCAUACAACAGUGUCUCGAACAGUCAUUUUAUGGCUUUGUGAAAGCAUCAUCUGAAAAUAUGGUUGUUCUUUUAAAAUAUCAUGACACAAGCUUGUGCAAAUGCAUUCAACUGUAUUUAGCUGCUGUAGAAUAAUUUAAAUUGUCUAAUCUUCCAAAUUAGAAGAGUAGUAAAGCUGAUGAGAACUAGCCACAAGGUGAGGCAUGGUGAUGAUAAUAUUUACCUGUGUCUUAUCUAUUUUUUAAAAAUGUAAUAGUUCUCUGUUGGUUGUAUAAAAUUUUAUAAGACAUAAUUGAACUCAUUCUAAAGUCAUUGUAAUAAACAUUUUAUAUUCUUA
Long non-coding RNA from Bubalus bubalis (water buffalo), 1203 nucleotides. RefSeq lists it as uncharacterized. The record is from RefSeq and is a predicted model, not a curated record. NCBI's taxonomy places the organism in Eukaryota, Metazoa, Chordata, Mammalia, Artiodactyla, Bovidae. The transcript is spliced from 4 exons.